AGCGAACGCUGGCGGCAGGCUUAACACAUGCAAGUCGAGCGGGCAUCUUCGGAUGUCAGCGGCAGACGGGUGCGUAACACGUGGGAACGUACCCUUCGGUUCGGAACAACUCUGGGAAACUGGAGCUAAUACCGGAUACGCCCUUAUGGGGAAAGGUUUACUGCCGAAGGAUCGGCCCGCGUCUGAUUAGCUAGUUGGUGGGGUAACGGCCUACCAAGGCGACGAUCAGUAGCUGGUCUGAGAGGAUGAUCAGCCACACUGGGACUGAGACACGGCCCAGACUCCUACGGGAAGCAGCAGUGGGGAAUAGUGGACAAUGGGCGCAAGCCUGAUCCAGCCAUGCCGCGUGAGUGAUGAAGGCCUUAGGGUUGUAAAGCUCUUUUGUCCGGGACGAUAAUGACGGUACCGGAAGAAUAAGCCCCGGCUAACUUCGUG
Molecule: ribosomal RNA, 435 nt
Filed under: uncultured bacterium
Lineage: Bacteria
Description: partial 16S ribosomal RNA
Rfam family: Bacterial small subunit ribosomal RNA
Source: RNAcentral